CUCCACCUGGACUGAAACUGCUCAAAUAGUAGCUAAAAAGCUCUUCUAACGCCAGAGCGAGUGAAGCCUUUGGGGAGGAAGGCGGCGGCUCUCCCCCUGCUGGCGCGUGACCCGGUCCGUUCUGCGAGCUCGCGCUGGUCCCGCGCCCCGGCCGCCCCCGCCACCCCCAUGGCCCAGCCGCUGGUGCCCAGCUCGCAGAAGGUGCUGCUACGGGAACUGAAGGGGCUGCAGGAGGAGCCGGUGGAGGGCUUCCGGGUGACGCUGGUGGACGAGGGUGACCUGUACAACUGGGAGGUGGCCAUCUUCGGGCCCCCCAACACCUACUAUGAGGGCGGCUACUUCAAGGCUCACCUCAAGUUCCCCAUCGACUACCCGUAUUCCCCACCAACCUUCCGGUUCCUCACCAAGAUGUGGCACCCAAACAUCUAUGAGACAGGGUUCGUGUGCAUCUCCAUUCUCCAUCCCCCAGUUGACAACCCACAGGGUGGGGUGCUGCCCUCAGAGCGGUGGAACCCCACACAGAAUGUCAGAACCAUCCUCCUGAGUGUAAUCUCGCUGCUGAAUGAGCCCAACACCUCCUCACCUGCCAACAAGGACGCCUCGGUGAUGUACAGAAAAUGGAAGGAGAGCAAGGGGAAGGACCACGAGUACACGGACAUCAUCCGGAAGCAGGUCCUGAGGACCAAGGUGGACGCAGAGCGCGAUGGCGUGAAGGUGCCCACUACGCUGGCCGAGUACUGCGCGAAGACCAAGGCGCCGGCGCUGGACGAGGGCUCGGACCUCUUCGACUACUAUGUGGACGACGAAGUGGAGGAGGCCGACAGCUGCUUUGGGGAUGAAGAGGAUGACUCUGGCCCGAAGAGUCCUGACCGACGUCCCUGAAAUAAACUUACAAAUUUUACCUCAGCAGGACCCGUGUGGGCCUCAGGCGACAGACUACCUCACCGAGGUUCCAUGUGGGCUCCCAUCCCAUGAUCCUUAGGUCCUCUUACCCCGUAUUCCCCAUGGGUUUUCCUCGGCUUUGGAGAAGAGCUGUGGUGCAGGGCAGACACCCCCACUCAGCUUUCAGAUGAUGACAAGCCUGGGAGGCUGGGGACCGACUGCCUGGUGGGGAGCCAGAGACUCCAGCCCAGCCCAAGGGAGGGCCAGCACCACAGUCUCCUCUCUGCUUUUAGUGUGUGUGAAAAAAAAAAAAAUAGCU
Non-coding RNA from Mus caroli (Ryukyu mouse), 1201 nucleotides. NCBI's taxonomy places the organism in Eukaryota, Metazoa, Chordata, Mammalia, Rodentia, Muridae. The record is from RefSeq and is a predicted model, not a curated record.